This is a long non-coding RNA of Phacochoerus africanus (Common warthog), 415 nucleotides long. RefSeq lists it as uncharacterized. The record is from RefSeq and is a predicted model, not a curated record. Lineage: Eukaryota; Metazoa; Chordata; Mammalia; Artiodactyla; Suidae. The transcript is spliced from 3 exons.
GGUCUCAAUCAGUCUUAACUAACUGGAGCUGGAACUGAGUGCAGCUGCCUCCAAGUCUCUGAAAGCAACCCGGGCAAACAUCUUGUUGAGGCUGCGUGAUGAUUGGAGGAUGUGCAGGUUUUUGCAAGUAAGGAGGCUCCAACACCCCGAGGGCCCCCGUGAGCUGUAGAAGUUUGCCCAAUUCCUUCUGUUCUCUGUGGAGAAGUUGCCAGUGGGCCUCAGAAGUUCUUUGGGAUGAAGAAACUCGUGUUACAGAAGAGUGAGGAUGGAAUUCUGUGAUGAUCCUGCCCUUAAAGGACUAUUUAUUAAGGAAGAAGACCUGCCAGUGGAAUUGGAAAAAGAGCAAUUGGAAGGGGGAGGAGAGACCAUCGUCAUGUACGAAACGGUCAGGGUGAAAAUAAUUACAGGCAGCGGA